ACGUUCAGUGACGUCACGUUUAUUAUAUUUUCGUUGAAAGAUCUGAAGUUACUUCAAUUCCAGCAUUCCUAGUGCAAAGAGGAAGGGCUAAACAUAGUAUGGGAUGGUUGAUUGCAGAAGACAAUAUUAAGCGAGAGUCCAGCCUUUCAUAUUUUGGCGAACAUAAAUCAAUCCGUUGAUUGGAUGUGGCAAGAGCUUUCCAUAGUUCCAAGUUAGGAGAGGCUAAAUGGGUUCUGUUUGAAAAGAUCCAGCAUUUUUGAAAAGCAAUUAACAGAUGCGAAACAAUGUGUCUCUGUGAAAAGGGCAGGCUAAAGGUUUCAACAGCACCGGCCGAAAAAGUGGAGAUAUAAUUUCAGCAUUGAACAAGGACAGGGCAAUAUUUAUAUAUACAUGUGUAGCGUUGUUAGACUAUAUGGAUAGUCGGGCCUCGGUGACAAAAAUGAUGAAAUAACAUUGUGUUU
Molecule: long non-coding RNA, 461 nt
Organism: Ruditapes philippinarum (Manila clam)
Lineage: Eukaryota; Metazoa; Mollusca; Bivalvia; Venerida; Veneridae
Exons: 3
Source: RefSeq, a predicted model, not a curated record